UAUAUUGAGCCCAUGUGUAUAGAGGCCCAUCUAUAGGUAUUAUAUAUACCCACCCUUCUAGGGUUGGAGGGAUACAUCCAUUAUUCCCUCCAACACUUAGACCACCCCCUCUAGCCACUCCGACCCUAAAACCCAGGUGUUAGAGUGGGGGAGAGGGGGCUUUAUCACUGGACCAACAUUCCCCCUACGGCGAGCGAGCCGCGCCUGUGGCUGCUGGUCUCAGCGAACCCCGCAGGAGAAAUCGCGUAGCGGAAGAAAUGCGUGGCCGGUGGGUUUGGAACCCGGGACCUGGCUCUGGUACCAACUUAGACCACCCCUCUAGCCACUUCGACCCUAAAACCCAGGUGUUAGAGUGGGGGAGAGGGGGGCUUUAUCACUGUACCAACAUUUUUUACAAAAUGUGACAUUGAUUCCACUGGCAUAAAUGAACUUUAUUCUAAAGCUCAAGAUGGCUAUGAAUCGACUAAACUAUAUUCAGUCUCAGUGGAAGAGCUACGAGGAAUGAGUCAGCGAAUGCCUGGCUGCCACAAUGGCGGUUUUGCUCUUUAUGAAUUGAUGAGGAACGAGGCCAAGAGUUUGUGAAGAUUCUGAGUGAGUCUUUCUUUUGCAGGACUGACUUGCUGAUUGGUGAUUGCAUUAAUACAUCAGAAAAUAAGUGUAGAGAUGUUCACAGCUGACACAAACACAGUGUUGAGCACCGCACAUUCACACCCAUCACAUUGCUGGUCUCUGUAGUAGAUGUGCCAUUUCCAUCUUUGUUGGGUCGAUGGUCUCCCUGUACCCUUACAGAAGCUCCAAAAUAAAUAAAAGCACGAAGCUCGAAUUUUUCU
Molecule: long non-coding RNA, 830 nt
Organism: Panicum virgatum (switchgrass)
Lineage: Eukaryota; Viridiplantae; Streptophyta; Magnoliopsida; Poales; Poaceae
Exons: 2
Source: RefSeq, a predicted model, not a curated record